AUAUAGCUCGGUUACCAGUGGGAUACCUCUGUAUUUAUAGCGUCCUUGAUGGUGAACCUGCGGAAGGAUCAUUAAAAAUGAAUCUGGGAAACCGGUCCUUCUCACCCUUGACUUAUCUUAAUUUGUUGCUGUUGGUGGGCCGGGCAAGCAUCCGGCUUCGGCUGGAUCGUGCCCGCCAGAGGACCACAACUCUGUAUUAAAUGUCAGUGUGAGUACUAGGUAUGAUAGUUAAAACUUUCAACAACGGAUCUCUUCGGUUCUGGGUCAUCGAUGAAGAACGCAGCGAAAUGAGGAUAAGUAAUGUGACUUGCAGAAUUCAAGUGAAUCAUCGCAUCUUUGAAUGCACUUUGCGCCGUACUGGUAUUCCGGAGGGCAUGCCUAGGUUCGAGUGUCAUAAUGACCAAAUCACCAUCUCGUGGUAGGACUUGGAGCUGUGCCUGUACAGGCCUCUCUUAAAACUAGUGGCCAGGUGCUCUUAAAACGUUCUCCGCGUAUUAGAUUUUUGUCGCUACAGAGUCCUUGAUUGCUACUUGCACCAACAACCUCAAUUAUUUUAAGGUUGUCCGUGCUGAUCAGGUAGGGAUACCCGCUGCAACUUAAGCAUAUCAUAA
Molecule: ribosomal RNA, 611 nt
Filed under: Helotiales sp. OTU100 AN-2016
Lineage: Eukaryota; Fungi; Ascomycota; Leotiomycetes; Helotiales
Description: eukaryotic LSU rRNA
Rfam family: 5.8S ribosomal RNA (bases 233-394)
Source: RNAcentral